AGUGAACGCUGGCGGCAGGCCUAACACAUGCAAGUCGAACGGCAGCACAAGAGAGCUUGCUCUCUGGGUGGCGAGUGGCGGACGGGUGAGGAAUGCAUCGGAAUCUGCCCAUUUGUGGGGGAUAACCUCGGGAAACCGGGACUAAUACCGCAUACGACCUACGGGUGAAAGCAGGGGAUCUUCGGACCUUGCGCAGAUGGAUGAGCCGAUGCCGGAUUAGCUAGUUGGAGGGGUAAAGGCCCACCAAGGCGACGAUCCGUAGCUGGUCUGAGAGGAUGAUCAGCCACACUGGGACUGAGACACGGCCCAGACUCCUACGGGAGGCAGCAGUGGGGAAUAUUGGACAAAGGGCGCAAGCCUGAUCCAGCCAUGCCGCGUGUGUGAAGAAGGCCUUCGGGUUGUAAAGCACUUUUGUUGGGAAAGAAAAGCAGCCGGUUAAUACCCGGUUGUCAUGAUGGUACCCAAAGAAUAAGCACCGGCUAACUUCGUG
This 490-nucleotide ribosomal RNA is filed under the name uncultured bacterium. RNAcentral describes it as "partial 16S ribosomal RNA". It matches the Rfam family "Bacterial small subunit ribosomal RNA", at positions 29 to 507 of the family's 1533-position model. The record is from RNAcentral.